GACGAACCGUGCGAACGUUAUUCGGAAUCACUGGGCUUAAAGCGCGUGUAGGCGGGCCGGCACGUCGGUCGUUGAAAUCCCCCGGCUCAACCGGGGAAGCGGCGCCGAUACGACCGGCCUCGAGGGACGUAGGGGGGGCUGGAACUUCCGGUGGAGCGGUGAAAUGCGCAGAUAUCAGGAGGAACACCGGUGGCGAAGGCGGGUCUCUGGGCCGAUACUGACGCUGAGGAGCGAAAGCGUGGGGAGCGAACAGG
Molecule: ribosomal RNA, 254 nt
Filed under: uncultured bacterium
Lineage: Bacteria
Description: partial 16S ribosomal RNA
Rfam family: Bacterial small subunit ribosomal RNA
Source: RNAcentral